Molecule: long non-coding RNA, 1891 nt
Organism: Equus caballus (horse)
Lineage: Eukaryota; Metazoa; Chordata; Mammalia; Perissodactyla; Equidae
Source: RefSeq, a predicted model, not a curated record
CCACGACAAGCAUGGACAGGACUAUUUAUGCCAGAGAAACAGAAAUGUGAGGGUGUUUGAAAUUUUUUGCAUAAUUUUACAGGGCCUCCCUCUUUACAGCCAUUUAAGUUACUCUUCAGAUAUGCACCCCCAUCUCCAGCAGUAUUUUCUGUCCCCCUAUGCCUUGGUUGCACACAAGAUUUACACAACUGGGACCUCAAAUUCUUUCUGAUAUUUAUUUAGUACCUCUAGCAGCAUGACUCUGAAGAUGGUCAAGAUAAAUGAAGGAUUCUGCCCAUUCUAACACAAUGCUGGGGAUAAAUACAGAUGACAAAGAGGCAGCCAGGAGAAGACAAAGAUGCUAGUUGCAGCCUCCCUGAGGGACAGCCCCCACCGAGGUCUGCAUGCCUCCCUGCACCCUGGCUCACAGGGUGCCAGGCUCCAGCAGCACCCUGCUGCUCUCCAUUGUGAGUUGUUGAAUCAUAAUGUCAUGACUGGCACUCAGAAUAAACAACUUCAAGUUAUGUCUGUUUUUAUCAGAAGCACGUUUCAUACAAAAAAAUGAGAAGCCUGUGCACAUCAGCUAGCAGACACAAAAAGAAAAAGAGCAGUGGGAGGAGUGAGGAGACUAGUUGUAACACUUAGCACUGAAUGAUCAAGGCCAGACUUACAGCAGUGAGCGUGGAGGGAGGAGAGACCAUUUGAAAAAGGAGGACUGAGACAAUCUAGUGAGGAGCCUAACUGUUCCCUGGUUUCUGGCUUUGCAUUCACAAGACCAGGAUGCACAGAGGAGUGAGAGAUAAAAGGGGGCUCGCCACAGGCACACUGAGCUUGACAUCCCUGUGGGAAACCCAAGAUAUGUACACAGUGCACACUGGGAGUCACCAGCACACCAUGACACCUGAACACACAGAAAUAAAAUCAGUUUCCCAAGGAAAACCUGCAGAAUCAGUUGUUCAUGUCAUUAGAUGCAAUAGAUGCUAUUAGAUGCUAUAAACAAAUGACAAAACUCAACAUCAACACAGAAUUUUAAAACCGUUUAGAAAACAGCAAUGGAGAAUCCCUAAUUUAAAAAAAAAAAAAAGAAAAACACCUAUCUCAACCAAAAUUUAACAUUACACUCACACAGCAAAACUCUCAGAGGCAUUCUAAUUAAACUAAAAAGCAAAAUAAGCACAUCACCACUGCUAUUAUUUAAUAUAUAGUUAGAUUUUUCCUGCUAAUGUGAUAAGAUUUAAAAAUAAAAAGUGAACUCUAUAGUUCAAUGAAAGAGUUAAAGUCCAGAGGAAUUUUCUAAGAACUAGUGGAAUCAGUUAAAAACAUUUGUAUAAAAUCAGUAAGAAAAAAGUAUAUAAACAUAUUAAUGUCACCAACAUUCCUGUACAUCAACAAAACAAAAAGCAUGAAUUAGAGAUAAAUGAUACAAAACCUACUUAACAACUUUUAAUGAAAAACAUUUAGUGAUUUUAGAGUAUACCUGAAUGCUAUAAGUUGUGUCCUCCCCAAAUUAAAGCAUAUAUUUAAAUGUAAUUCCAAUGAAAGUCUAAGCAAGGUUCUUUUACUUGACAAAAUGAUUCUAAAAUUAUAUAUACAAAUGAAUGCGAUCAAAUAAAAAUGUUGGAGAAGAAGCAAUUGAGAGAUGAGUCCUCUGAAAUAUUAAAAAUUAUAAGGUAAUAAUAAUUAUUAAACAGCAAGGUACAGGUCUAUAAGACUGAAAGACAAUCCAGAAAUUGACUGGCUUAUACAGAAGAGUCUACCAGCCAAUAGAAGCAGCAGCCCAAAAUUAUAAGAAAGGGACAAGUUAUUCAAUAAUGGGCAUUGGGAUAACUUUGGCUAACAAUUUGGGGAAAAAAAUCAAUUAAGACUCAGUUCAUUCAUCAAAAUAAAUUCCAAUGCAUAAAAAUGUUAAAUG